This 487-nucleotide ribosomal RNA is filed under the name Fusarium oxysporum. RNAcentral describes it as "eukaryotic LSU rRNA". The stretch from base 133 to 286 matches the Rfam family "5.8S ribosomal RNA". The record is from RNAcentral. Lineage: Eukaryota; Fungi; Ascomycota; Sordariomycetes; Hypocreales; Nectriaceae.
CAAACCCCUGUGAACAUACCACUUGUUGCCUCGGCGGAUCAGCCCGCUCCCGGUAAAACGGGACGGCCCGCCAGAGGACCCCUAAACUCUGUUUCUAUAUGUAACUUCUGAGUAAAACCAUAAAUAAAUCAAAACUUUCAACAACGGAUCUCUUGGUUCUGGCAUCGAUGAAGAACGCAGCAAAAUGCGAUAAGUAAUGUGAAUUGCAGAAUUCAGUGAAUCAUCGAAUCUUUGAACGCACAUUGCGCCCGCCAGUAUUCUGGCGGGCAUGCCUGUUCGAGCGUCAUUUCAACCCUCAAGCACAGCUUGGUGUUGGGACUCGCGUUAAUUCGCGUUCCUCAAAUUGAUUGGCGGUCACGUCGAGCUUCCAUAGCGUAGUAGUAAAACCCUCGUUACUGGUAAUCGUCGCGGCCACGCCGUUAAACCCCAACUUCUGAAUGUUGACCUCGGAUCAGGUAGGAAUACCCGCUGAACUUAAGCAUAUCAA